This 1705-nucleotide long non-coding RNA is filed under the name Brassica napus (rape). Its description in RNAcentral is "long non-coding RNA (BNAP_LNC019697)". The record is from RNAcentral. Lineage: Eukaryota; Viridiplantae; Streptophyta; Magnoliopsida; Brassicales; Brassicaceae.
CUCGUAUCACUCUCACCACCACCACCAUGACCACUUCCUUCCAUGUCGCUGUCUUCUGCGGUCCCUGGUUUGAAUAUAAACAGACCAUGCCCUGUCCCCGGCGCGCUGAACAACCAAUCAUAAACAUCCCAAAAGACUUGAACAGGUUGUUUAUCUACGAGCACGGUCUGGUUCCCUCUGAAUUUCCACUGCAGAUUCUUGACCUGUACCAAGACAAUCCCGUCAAUACUUAUCCACAUCUCUGGCUCUUUAGUCCCGGAGAUAGAGCUCUCCACGUUGAUCUCGUGCUCUUUUUUCCUGUCGUAAAACUUAGCCCUCGUAGCAAAACUCUUCUUCCCAAACACGUUUUCUUUCUUGUAAAACAAGGCAGCCUCGACCAAAGCGGGUCUUGAUUUUGUUCUCUUGAAAGCCUUCUUCUUGUAAUCACCCACCAACAAAACCACCUCUUCCUCCGCGACUAGAGCCACGUAGAAGUCCGAGCUCGGCUCGGGGCUACUCGUGAAUUUCGCAGACCUGAAAUCCCAAUACACCUCAACGGGGUUGCCUUCAACUUCAAAGGACUUGUAGCCUUUCUUGUUCCAGAAAUGCCACGGCUUAAGAUCAACCUUGCAGCAAUAAUUCAUAUCGCCUUCCACGCUUGUGACCAUGACCGUAAGCGAAUGGUUCAUUAGAUUCUUUGACCAUAGAACCGUCACAUUCCUCCAAAACCCAGAUAUAUGCGUUUGAUAUAUGCAUGUCACGGUGCUUUGUGCCGUCUUAUACGUCACCGGAUCAUCGGUUAUCUUCUCUGCAAAUUGACUGCUCCCUGUCGAAUGUGAUCUAAAGGACAUGAUCGCUUCUCUCCAAUCCCCUAAAUAUACUUUUACAUACAAACAAUAUCAAAUUAUAUGGUAAUUAUGUUUCACAUAUCAGCCAAAUGGUACCGAAGAUCUCUAAGAGGGUCGUGAAUGAAUCCUCUUGAGGCUGCUGCGACAGAUCCAAGAAUGAACAAAUAAAGAUCAAAUUGAGAAGAUAGGCUCUGGGAGAAUUGACUUGAGAUCUGGACAGAGAGAGAGAAAGAGAUGAGAAAAUAGAUUAAGGAAUAAUGAUUAGGAAAAGCAGAGAAAUCUCAAUGUAAGGAUGAUGAUGACGCGUAAAGACAUGGAAGGUUGCCUCAUCUUAUCAAAUAGACUUUCUAUUUGUUUUCUCAUAUCCAGUUUUUUUUUUUUUUGUUUUUCUUAUUUUGGAGCAUAAACUUAUAAUAACAGAUUAAAUUGGUUCGAGUUCAAUCAAACCCGUAUAAUACAUUUUCUUGACAAAAGCUUUCUCUUUUUUUUGAUAAGACUACUAUUCAAGUUUCCAAGCAUAAAGAAAGAGGCAAAACUCAGGCGGCCAAGAGCCACUCUUGGUCGAAUGAUACCUGCUCCCUGUGCUCGUAUCACUCUCACCACCACCACCAUGACCACUUCCUUCCAUGUCGCUGUCUUCUGCGGUCCCUGGUUUGAAUAUAAACAGACCAUGCCCUGUCCCCGGCGCGCUGAACAACCAAUCAUAAACAUCCCAAAAGACUUGAACAGGUUGUUUAUCUACGAGCACGGUCUGGUUCCCUCUGAAUUUCCACUGCAGAUUCUUGACCUGUACCAAGACAAUCCCGUCAAUACUUAUCCACAUCUCUGGCUCUUUAGUCCCGGAGAUAGAGCUCUCCACGUUGAUCUCGUGCUCUUUU